This 339-nucleotide ribosomal RNA is filed under the name uncultured Anaerolineaceae bacterium. RNAcentral's name for it is "bacterial SSU rRNA". It matches the Rfam family "Bacterial small subunit ribosomal RNA", at positions 1029 to 1382 of the family's 1533-position model. Lineage: Bacteria; Bacillati; Chloroflexota; Anaerolineae; Anaerolineales; Anaerolineaceae. The record is from RNAcentral.
UAGUUACAGGUGUUGUCAUGGCUGUCGUCAGCUCGUGUCGUGAGAUGUUCGGUUAAGUCCGCUAACGAGCGCAACCCUCGUCGUAUGUUAUAUGUGUCAUACGAGACUGCCGGUAAAAGCCGGAGGAAGGUGAGGAUGAUGUCAAGUCAGCAUGACCUUUAUAUCCAGGGCUACACACACGCUACAAUGGUCUGUACAAUGGGUAGCCAAGCCGCGAGGCGGAGCCAAUCCUGAAAGCAGGCCUCAGUUCAGAUUGCAGUCUGCAACUCGACUGCAUGAAGCCGGAGUUGCUAGUAACCGCAGGUCAGCAAUACUGCGGUGAAUACGUUCCCGGGUCUU